Molecule: ribosomal RNA, 545 nt
Filed under: Bifidobacterium longum subsp. suillum
Lineage: Bacteria; Bacillati; Actinomycetota; Actinomycetes; Bifidobacteriales; Bifidobacteriaceae
Description: bacterial SSU rRNA
Rfam family: Bacterial small subunit ribosomal RNA
Source: RNAcentral
AAAAAAGGUGGUAAUGCCGGAUGCUCCAGUUGAUCGCAUGGUCUUCUGGGAAAGCUUUCGCGGUAUGGGAUGGGGUCGCGUCCUAUCAGCUUGACGGCGGGGUAACGGCCCACCGUGGCUUCGACGGGUAGCCGGCCUGAGAGGGCGACCGGCCACAUUGGGACUGAGAUACGGCCCAGACUCCUACGGGAGGCAGCAGUGGGGAAUAUUGCACAAUGGGCGCAAGCCUGAUGCAGCGACGCCGCGUGAGGGAUGGAGGCCUUCGGGUUGUAAACCUCUUUUAUCGGGGAGCAAGCGAGAGUGAGUUUACCCGUUGAAUAAGCACCGGCUAACUACGUGCCAGCAGCCGCGGUAAUACGUAGGGUGCAAGCGUUAUCCGGAAUUAUUGGGCGUAAAGGGCUCGUAGGCGGUUCGUCGCGUCCGGUGUGAAAGUCCAUCGCUUAACGGUGGAUCCGCGCCGGGUACGGGCGGGCUUGAGUGCGGUAGGGGAGACUGGAAUUCCCGGUGUAACGGUGGAAUGUGUAGAUAUCGGGAAGAACACCAAC